AAGGGAGGGGUGUUGGGGAAUAAUUAUAUGCAUUGCUUCACCCUAUUACCUUGAAGAAAUCAAAGCGCCUAAAGCAUGUAUUAGGCAUGAAUGAAUUAGCAUGGGAUAAUAGAACAAGACUUAGUUCUUGAUUUUUAUUGGUUUCUACAAGUAACAAUGUACAUGAUUAAUAGGGAUAGUUGGGGCCACUUGUAUUGAACCGUCAGAGGUGAAAUUCUAGGACCGGUUCAAGACAAACUAGUGCGAAAGCAUCUGGCAAGGAUGUUUUCAUUAAUCAAGAACGAAAGUUGCGGGCGCGAAGAUGAUCAGAUACCGUCGUAGUCGCAACUAUAAACUUUGUCGCCCAAGGGGUAGUGGUAGUUACAUGAUGACACCCCUAUAACUUUGUGAGAAAUCACAAGGAUUUGGACUCUGGGGGAAGUAUGGUCGCAAGGCUGAAACUUAAAGGAAUUGACGGAAGGGCACCACCAGGAGUGGAACCUGCGGCUUAAUUUGACUCAACACGGGGAAACUUACCAGGUCCAGACACAAUAAGGAUUGACAGAUUGAUAGCUCUUUCUUGAUUCUGUGGAAAGUGGUGCAUGGCCGUUUUUAGUUGGUGGAUUGAUUUGUCUGGUUAAUUCCGUUAACGAACGAGACCUAAACCUACUAACUAGUUAAUGUUAACUUGGACUCUUUUUUUUAUAAAAGGAGCUUCCUCAAUAUUUAUUUAAACUUCUUAGAGGGACUCUUUAUACUUAGUGAAUGGAAGUUUUAGGCAACAACAGGUCUGUGAUGCCCUUAGAUGUUCUGGGCCGCACGCGCGUUACAAUGAAAUGCUCAAUGAGCAAUAUACCCUUGCCCUAAUGGGCUUGGGAACCUGUAUAAAGUUUUUCAAGAUUGGGAUAGGUCAUUGUAAUUAUUGACCUUAAACGAGGAAUUCCUAGUAAAUGUAAGUCAUCAACUUACGUUGAUUACGUCCCUGCCCUUUGUACACACCGCCCGUCGCUCCUACCGAUCGAAUGAUCCGGUGAGGACUCUGGAGGAUAAAAGAUUACUGACCGGCUUCUAAAAAAAAGCUAGUCAUACUUGAUUUAAAUCUGUUCGAACCUUAUUAUUUAGAGGAAGGAGAAGUCGUAACAAGGUUUCCGUAGGUGAACCUGC
RNAcentral lists this ribosomal RNA (1143 nucleotides) under Cornutheca ansata. RNAcentral describes it as "partial small subunit ribosomal RNA". It matches the Rfam family "Eukaryotic small subunit ribosomal RNA", at positions 707 to 1818 of the family's 1831-position model. The record is from RNAcentral. Lineage: Eukaryota; Tubulinea; Elardia; Arcellinida; Hyalospheniidae.